UGGACCCUACGGGAGGCAGCAGUGAGGAAUAUUGGUCAAUGGGCGGGAGCCUGAACCAGCCAAGCCGCGUGAGGGAAGAAGGUACAGCGUAUCGUAAACCUCUUUUGUCAGGGAACAAAGGCGGGGACGUGUCCCCGGAUGAGUGUACCUGAAGAAAAAGCAUCGGCUAACUCCGUGCCAGCAGCCGCGGUAAUACGGAGGAUGCGAGCGUUAUCCGGAUUUAUUGGGUUUAAAGGGUGCGCAGGCGGUCUGUUAAGUCAGCGGUCAAAGCCCGGGGCUCAACCCCGGCCCGCCGUUGAAACUGG
RNAcentral lists this ribosomal RNA (305 nucleotides) under uncultured bacterium. RNAcentral describes it as "bacterial SSU rRNA". It matches the Rfam family "Bacterial small subunit ribosomal RNA", at positions 332 to 636 of the family's 1533-position model. The record is from RNAcentral.